RNAcentral lists this ribosomal RNA (809 nucleotides) under Daldinia loculata. RNAcentral's name for it is "eukaryotic LSU rRNA". The stretch from base 224 to 809 matches the Rfam family "Eukaryotic large subunit ribosomal RNA", at positions 1 to 596 of the family's 3401-position model. The record is from RNAcentral. Lineage: Eukaryota; Fungi; Ascomycota; Sordariomycetes; Xylariales; Hypoxylaceae.
UGAACGCACAUUGCGCCCAUUAGUAUUCUAGUGGGCAUGCCUAUUCGAGCGUCAUUUCAACCCUUAAGCCUAGUUGCUUAGUGUUGGGAAUCUGCCCUGUAUUUAUAGGGCAGUUCCUUAAAGUGAUCGGCGGAGUUAGGGCAUACUCUAAGCGUAGUAAUAUUCUUCUCGCUUCUGUAGUUGUCCUGGCGGCUUGCCGUUAAACCCCUAUAUUUCUAGUGGUUGACCUCGGAUUAGGUAGGAAUACCCGCUGAACUUAAGCAUAUCAAUAAGCGGAGGAAAAGAAACCAACAGGGAUUGCCCUAGUAACGGCGAGUGAAGCGGCAACAGCUCAAAUUUGAAAUCUGGCCCUAGCGGUCCGAGUUGUAAUUUGUAGAGGAUGCUUUUGGUUAGGUGCCUUCUGAGUUCCCUGGAACGGGACGCCAGAGAGGGUGAGAGCCCCGUACGGUUGGACACCGAGCCUCUAUAUAGCUCCUUCGACGAGUCGAGUAGUUUGGGAAUGCUGCUCUAAAUGGGAGGUAAAUUUCUUCUAAAGCUAAAUACCGGCCAGAGACCGAUAGCGCACAAGUAGAGUGAUCGAAAGAUGAAAAGUACUUUGAAAAGAGGGUUAAAUAGCACGUGAAAUUGUUGAAAGGGAAGCGUUUGCGACCAGACUUUUUCCAGGCGGAUCAUCCGGUGUUCUCACCGGUGCACUUCGCCUGGUUUAGGCCAGCAUCGGUUCUCUUAGGGGGAUAAAGGCCUGGGGAACGUAGCUCCUUCGGGAGUGUUAUAGCCCCUAGCGUAAUACCCUUCGGGGGACCGAGGAACGC